Molecule: ribosomal RNA, 497 nt
Filed under: uncultured bacterium
Lineage: Bacteria
Description: partial 16S ribosomal RNA
Rfam family: Bacterial small subunit ribosomal RNA
Source: RNAcentral
GAUGAACGCUGGCGGCGUGCCUAAUACAUGCAAGUCGAGCGAACGGACGUGAAUCUUGCUUCUCUGAUGUUAGCGGCGGAUGGGUGAGUAACACGUGGAUCACCUAUCUAUAAGACUGGGAUAACUUCGGGAAACCGGAGCUAAUACCGGAUAAUAUUUUGAACCGCAUGGUUCAAACGUGAAAGACGGUCUUGCUGUCACUUAUAGAUGGUUCCGCGCUGCAUUAUCUAGUUGGUAAGGUAACGGCUUACCAAGGCAACGAUGCAUAGUCGUCCUGAGAGGGAGAGCGGCCACACUGGAACUGAGACAGGGUCCAGACUCCGACGGGUGGCAGCGGUAGCGGAUGGGACGAAAUGGGCGAAAGCGGGACGGAGCAGCGGCGCGUGAGUGAGGAAGGUCUUCGGAUCGUAGAACUCUGUUAUUAGCGAAGAAGAUAUGUGUAAGUAGCUGUGCAGGUCUUGACGGUACCUAAACAGAAAGCAACGGCUAACUACGUG